AUACGGAGGAUCCGAGCGUUAUCCGGAUUUAUUGGGUUUAAAGGGAGCGUAGGCGGAUGUUUAAGGCAGUUGUGAAAGUUUAAGGCUCAACCUUGAAAUUGCAGUUGAUACUGGACGUCUUGAGUGCAUCAAAUGUGGGCGGAAUUCGUGGUGUAGCGGUGAAAUGAGGAGAGAUCACGAAGAACUCAACUUGCGAAGGCAGCUCACAGGACUGUAACUGACGCUGAUGCUCGAAAGUGUGGGUAUCAAACUGGAUUAGAUACCCUGGUAGUCCUCACUCUAAACGAUGAAUUCUCGCUGUUUGCGAUAUCCAGUGCGCGGCCAAGCGAAAGCGUUAAGUAUUCCACCUGGGGAGUACGCCGGCAACGGUGA
Molecule: ribosomal RNA, 372 nt
Filed under: uncultured bacterium
Lineage: Bacteria
Description: bacterial SSU rRNA
Rfam family: Bacterial small subunit ribosomal RNA
Source: RNAcentral